Molecule: long non-coding RNA, 255 nt
Filed under: Eutrema salsugineum
Lineage: Eukaryota; Viridiplantae; Streptophyta; Magnoliopsida; Brassicales; Brassicaceae
Description: long non-coding RNA (ESAL_LNC000170)
Source: RNAcentral
CGCAAUUCGUCGAUUUCAAUCCCAAGGUGCACCUUGCUUUUUUUUUUUUUACAUAUUUAUUCAAAAAGAGUUCUAUGUUUUGACUGAAGUUAGAUAAUAGAGUUAUUUUUUUUAUGUAUUCUUUUUUUCUUAUAAAUUUUUUAAAGAGUUUUUCAAUGAAUCAGUUACGUGAAUUCUGAAUCCUGAGAUUGUGCAGAUGCCAAAGACGAUGAAUUUAGUUCUUUUGAUCUUUCUCUAUUGUUCAUACCACCUAUA